Long non-coding RNA from Fukomys damarensis (Damara mole-rat), 332 nucleotides. RefSeq lists it as uncharacterized. The transcript has 3 exons. NCBI's taxonomy places the organism in Eukaryota, Metazoa, Chordata, Mammalia, Rodentia, Bathyergidae. The record is from RefSeq and is a predicted model, not a curated record.
CCCGCCGGAAUCGCCGCGCAGCUCCGCCCUGUGGAGGUGGGCCCAGGACACGGUGGGGCAGGGCUGCGGAAAGCGCCUCUCCUCCAGAGACCGUGGUUGGCCCUUGGCAUCCCUGGCAGUCCUGUCCCGCCCACGGUGUGCCGCGCCCCCUUCCUUUCCCCUUUUGAGACACCGAGAGAGUGAAUAAUUCUCAAAAGAUAACCUUGAGUCUACAAGAUCCAAGACACAAAGGAACCUUUCCUACACGAUCCUACAUCUUUGGAGGAAAAAAAAAUCAAGAAUCAGUAUAUAGCAAUUUCAAGAUGGCCACUUGAUUACUCUUACUACACUCA